This 253-nucleotide ribosomal RNA is filed under the name uncultured bacterium. RNAcentral's name for it is "partial 16S ribosomal RNA". It matches the Rfam family "Bacterial small subunit ribosomal RNA", at positions 524 to 776 of the family's 1533-position model. The record is from RNAcentral.
UACGGGGGGGGCAAGCGUUGUUCGGAAUUACUGGGCGUAAAGGGCUCGUAGGUGGCCAACUAAGUCAGACGUGAAAUCCCUCGGCUUAACCGGGGAACUGCGUCUGAUACUGGAUGGCUUGAGUUCGGGAGAGGGAUGCGGAAUUCCAGGUGUAGCGGUGAAAUGCGUAGAUAUCGGGAGGAACACCUGUGGCGAAGGCGGCCCCCUGGUUGGAUACUGACGCUGAUACGCGAAAGCGUGGGGAGCAAACAGG